RNAcentral lists this ribosomal RNA (459 nucleotides) under uncultured bacterium. RNAcentral describes it as "partial 16S ribosomal RNA". It matches the Rfam family "Bacterial small subunit ribosomal RNA", at positions 338 to 795 of the family's 1533-position model. The record is from RNAcentral.
CCUACGGGAGGCAGCAGUGAGGAAUAUUGGUCAAUGGUCGGGAGACUGAACCAGCCAAGCCGCGUGAGGGAUGAAGGUACAGAGUAUCGUAAACCUCUUUUGUCAGGGAACAAAGGCGGGGACGUGUCCCCGGAUGAGUGUACCUGAAGAAAAAGCAUCGGCUAACUCCGUGCCAGCAGCCGCGGUAAUACGGGGGAUGCGAGCGUUAUCCGGAUUUAUUGGGUUUAAAGGGUGCGCAGGCGGUCUGUUAAGUCAGCGGUCAAACCCCGGGGCUCAACCCCGGCCCGCCGUUGAAAGUGGCAGUCUCGAGUUGGAGAGAGGUAUGCGGAAUGCGCGGUGUAGCGGUGAAAUGCAUAGAUAUCGCGCAGAACUCCGAUGGCGAAGGCAGCAUGCCGGCUCCACACUGACGCUGAGGCACGAAAGCGUGGGUAUCGAACAGGAUUAGAUACCCGUGUAGUC